CGGGACGGGUGAGUAAUGUAUGGGGAUCUGCCUGAUGGCGGGGGAUAACUACUGGAAACGGUAGCUAAUACCGCAUAACGUCGCAAGACCAAAGAGGGGGACCUUCGGGCCUCUUGCCAUCGGAUGUGCCCAGAUGGGAUUAGCUAGUAGGUGGGGUAACGGCUCACCUAGGCGACGAUCCCUAGCUGGUCUGAGAGGAUGACCAGCCACACUGGAACUGAGACACGGUCCAG
RNAcentral lists this ribosomal RNA (233 nucleotides) under uncultured bacterium. RNAcentral describes it as "partial 16S ribosomal RNA". It matches the Rfam family "Bacterial small subunit ribosomal RNA", at positions 100 to 334 of the family's 1533-position model. The record is from RNAcentral.